RNAcentral lists this ribosomal RNA (2926 nucleotides) under Escherichia coli. RNAcentral's name for it is "23S ribosomal RNA". It matches the Rfam family "Bacterial large subunit ribosomal RNA". Lineage: Bacteria; Pseudomonadati; Pseudomonadota; Gammaproteobacteria; Enterobacterales; Enterobacteriaceae. The record is from RNAcentral.
GGGUUGUGAGGUUAAGCGACUAAGCGUACACGGUGGAUGCCCUGGCAGUCAGAGGCGAUGAAGGACGUGCUAAUCUGCGAUAAGCGUCGGUAAGGUGAUAUGAACCGUUAUAACCGGCGAUUUCCGAAUGGGGAAACCCAGUGUGUUUCGACACACUAUCAUUAACUGAAUCCAUAGGUUAAUGAGGCGAACCGGGGGAACUGAAACAUCUAAGUACCCCGAGGAAAAGAAAUCAACCGAGAUUCCCCCAGUAGCGGCGAGCGAACGGGGAGCAGCCCAGAGCCUGAAUCAGUGUGUGUGUUAGUGGAAGCGUCUGGAAAGGCGCGCGAUACAGGGUGACAGCCCCGUACACAAAAAUGCACAUGCUGUGAGCUCGAUGAGUAGGGCGGGACACGUGGUAUCCUGUCUGAAUAUGGGGGGACCAUCCUCCAAGGCUAAAUACUCCUGACUGACCGAUAGUGAACCAGUACCGUGAGGGAAAGGCGAAAAGAACCCCGGCGAGGGGAGUGAAAAAGAACCUGAAACCGUGUACGUACAAGCAGUGGGAGCACGCUUAGGCGUGUGACUGCGUACCUUUUGUAUAAUGGGUCAGCGACUUAUAUUCUGUAGCAAGGUUAACCGAAUAGGGGAGCCGAAGGGAAACCGAGUCUUAACUGGGCGUUAAGUUGCAGGGUAUAGACCCGAAACCCGGUGAUCUAGCCAUGGGCAGGUUGAAGGUUGGGUAACACUAACUGGAGGACCGAACCGACUAAUGUUGAAAAAUUAGCGGAUGACUUGUGGCUGGGGGUGAAAGGCCAAUCAAACCGGGAGAUAGCUGGUUCUCCCCGAAAGCUAUUUAGGUAGCGCCUCGUGAACUCAUCUCCGGGGGUAGAGCACUGUUUCGGCAAGGGGGUCAUCCCGACUUACCAACCCGAUGCAAACUGCGAAUACCGGAGAAUGUUAUCACGGGAGACACACGGCGGGUGCUAACGUCCGUCGUGAAGAGGGAAACAACCCAGACCGCCAGCUAAGGUCCCAAAGUCAUGGUUAAGUGGGAAACGAUGUGGGAAGGCCCAGACAGCCAGGAUGUUGGCUUAGAAGCAGCCAUCAUUUAAAGAAAGCGUAAUAGCUCACUGGUCGAGUCGGCCUGCGCGGAAGAUGUAACGGGGCUAAACCAUGCACCGAAGCUGCGGCAGCGACACUAUGUGUUGUUGGGUAGGGGAGCGUUCUGUAAGCCUGUGAAGGUGUGCUGUGAGGCAUGCUGGAGGUAUCAGAAGUGCGAAUGCUGACAUAAGUAACGAUAAAGCGGGUGAAAAGCCCGCUCGCCGGAAGACCAAGGGUUCCUGUCCAACGUUAAUCGGGGCAGGGUGAGUCGACCCCUAAGGCGAGGCCGAAAGGCGUAGUCGAUGGGAAACAGGUUAAUAUUCCUGUACUUGGUGUUACUGCGAAGGGGGGACGGAGAAGGCUAUGUUGGCCGGGCGACGGUUGUCCCGGUUUAAGCGUGUAGGCUGGUUUUCCAGGCAAAUCCGGAAAAUCAAGGCUGAGGCGUGAUGACGAGGCACUACGGUGCUGAAGCAACAAAUGCCCUGCUUCCAGGAAAAGCCUCUAAGCAUCAGGUAACAUCAAAUCGUACCCCAAACCGACACAGGUGGUCAGGUAGAGAAUACCAAGGCGCUUGAGAGAACUCGGGUGAAGGAACUAGGCAAAAUGGUGCCGUAACUUCGGGAGAAGGCACGCUGAUAUGUAGGUGAAGUCCCUUGCGGAUGGAGCUGAAAUCAGUCGAAGAUACCAGCUGGCUGCAACUGUUUAUUAAAAACACAGCACUGUGCAAACACGAAAGUGGACGUAUACGGUGUGACGCCUGCCCGGUGCCGGAAGGUUAAUUGAUGGGGUUAGCGGUAACGCGAAGCUCUUGAUCGAAGCCCCGGUAAACGGCGGCCGUAACUAUAACGGUCCUAAGGUAGCGAAAUUCCUUGUCGGGUAAGUUCCGACCUGCACGAAUGGCGUAAUGAUGGCCAGGCUGUCUCCACCCGAGACUCAGUGAAAUUGAACUCGCUGUGAAGAUGCAGUGUACCCGCGGCAAGACGGAAAGACCCCGUGAACCUUUACUAUAGCUUGACACUGAACAUUGAGCCUUGAUGUGUAGGAUAGGUGGGAGGCUUUGAAGUGUGGACGCCAGUCUGCAUGGAGCCGACCUUGAAAUACCACCCUUUAAUGUUUGAUGUUCUAACGUUGACCCGUAAUCCGGGUUGCGGACAGUGUCUGGUGGGUAGUUUGACUGGGGCGGUCUCCUCCUAAAGAGUAACGGAGGAGCACGAAGGUUGGCUAAUCCUGGUCGGACAUCAGGAGGUUAGUGCAAUGGCAUAAGCCAGCUUGACUGCGAGCGUGACGGCGCGAGCAGGUGCGAAAGCAGGUCAUAGUGAUCCGGUGGUUCUGAAUGGAAGGGCCAUCGCUCAACGGAUAAAAGGUACUCCGGGGAUAACAGGCUGAUACCGCCCAAGAGUUCAUAUCGACGGCGGUGUUUGGCACCUCGAUGUCGGCUCAUCACAUCCUGGGGCUGAAGUAGGUCCCAAGGGUAUGGCUGUUCGCCAUUUAAAGUGGUACGCGAGCUGGGUUUAGAACGUCGUGAGACAGUUCGGUCCCUAUCUGCCGUGGGCGCUGGAGAACUGAGGGGGGCUGCUCCUAGUACGAGAGGACCGGAGUGGACGCAUCACUGGUGUUCGGGUUGUCAUGCCAAUGGCACUGCCCGGUAGCUAAAUGCGGAAGAGAUAAGUGCUGAAAGCAUCUAAGCACGAAACUUGCCCCGAGAUGAGUUCUCCCUGACUCCUUGAGAGUCCUGAAGGAACGUUGAAGACGACGACGUUGAUAGGCCGGGUGUGUAAGCGCAGCGAUGCGUUGAGCUAACCGGUACUAAUGAACCGUGAGGCUUAACCUUACAACGCCGAAG